RNAcentral lists this ribosomal RNA (460 nucleotides) under uncultured bacterium. RNAcentral describes it as "partial 16S ribosomal RNA". It matches the Rfam family "Bacterial small subunit ribosomal RNA", at positions 338 to 795 of the family's 1533-position model. The record is from RNAcentral.
CCUACGGGAGGCAGCAGUGAGGAAUAUUGGUCAAUGGACGAGAGUCUGAACCAGCCAAGUAGCGUGAAGGAUGACUGCCCUAUGGGUUGUAAACUUCUUUUAUAAAGGAAUAAAACGAGGCACGUGUGCCUUUUUGCAUGUACUUUAUGAAUAAGGAUCGGCUAACUCCGUGCCAGCAGCCGCGGUAAUACGGAGGAUCCGAGCGUUAUCCGGAUUUAUUGGGUGUAAAGGGAGCGUAGAUGGGUUGUUAAGUCAGUUGUGAAAGUUUGCGGCUCAACCGUAAAAUUGCUAUUGAUACUGGCAGUCUUGAGUACAGUUGAGGUAGGCGGAAUUCGUGGUGUAGCGGUGAAAUGCUUAGAUAUCACGAAGAACCCCGAUUGCGAAGGCAGCUUACUAAACUGUGACUGACAUUGAUGCUCGAAAGCGUGGGUAGCAAACAGGAUUAGAUACCCUGGUAGUC